This 67-nucleotide transfer RNA is filed under the name Cerapanorpa dubia. RNAcentral's name for it is "tRNA-Trp". Lineage: Eukaryota; Metazoa; Arthropoda; Insecta; Mecoptera; Panorpidae. The record is from RNAcentral. RNAcentral also lists the same sequence under 1 other name.
AAGGCUUUAAGUUAAUUAAACUAAUAGUCUUCAAAAUUAUAAAUAAAGAGCUUAUCUUUAAGCCUUA